CGUAUCUCUUCAUCUGUUCGGGUGUGCUGAUUCUGGUUCUUAUAGUAAUGCUCAUCUCAAUCCUGUGUAUUAAUGCAUUUAAAAAUUCAAGAAGAAAGAACGCACAGAGAGCGCAGGUUCAGAUCUUCUGAAGCGUGAUGAGUAUGUCUGUGUGCAGUACACUGUGACCCUAUCAUGACCACACAUCCGGCUGAACAUUAGCAGCUGAACAGUCUGCACUGCAUGUGUUAGGUGGAGGUGAUGAUACUUUAUCCUGCAUGAGAGAUGACUGCUUUAGCCAGGUUGUAUAUGCGUCUCUGCAUUGCUUCACACCAACACCAAUGUCCCCUUUGACCUGAAGCUUUA
This is a long non-coding RNA of Sinocyclocheilus grahami, 345 nucleotides long. RefSeq lists it as uncharacterized. The transcript has 3 exons. NCBI's taxonomy places the organism in Eukaryota, Metazoa, Chordata, Actinopteri, Cypriniformes, Cyprinidae. The record is from RefSeq and is a predicted model, not a curated record.